CUCCAGCUGGGAGGCCCUGGGUUGAUUUAGAGGCCCUGGGACUCCUAGCCACAGCCGGUGCCCCAGAGCCUUUAAAUCUUGAGAGGCACUGACUCUUCCGGUUGAGACCAUGCCUCUCUCAGGACUCUGGCAAUAUCAGUAAGUCCUGUAAGUUACUUUCAC
Chelonoidis abingdonii (Abingdon island giant tortoise) is the source of this 162-nucleotide non-coding RNA. The record is from RefSeq and is a predicted model, not a curated record. Lineage: Eukaryota; Metazoa; Chordata; Testudines; Testudinidae.